AUUGAACGCUGGCGGAAUGCUUUACACAUGCAAGUCGAACGGCAGCACGGACUUCGGUCUGGUGGCGAGUGGCGAGCGGGUGAGUAAUACAUCGGAACGUGCCCAAUCGUGGGGGAUAACGUAGCGAAAGCUACGCUAAUACCGCAUACGAUCUAAGGAUGAAAGCGGGGGAUCGCAAGACCUCGCGCGAAUGGAGCGGCCGAUGGCAGAUUAGGUAGUUGGUAGGGUAAAGGCCUACCAAGCCGACGAUCUGUAGCUGGUCUGAGAGGAUGAUCAGCCACACUGGGACUGAGACACGGCCCAGACUCCUACGGGAGGCAGCAGUGGGGAAUUUUGGACAAUGGACGCAAGUCUGAUCCAGCCAUUCCGCGUGCAGGAUGAAGGCCCUCGGGUUGUAAACUGCUUUUGUACAGAACGAAAAGGCUCUGGUUAAUACCUGGGGCUCAUGACGGUACUGUAAGAAUAAGCACCGGCUAACUACGUGCCAGCCGCCGCGGUAA
RNAcentral lists this ribosomal RNA (500 nucleotides) under uncultured bacterium. RNAcentral describes it as "partial 16S ribosomal RNA". It matches the Rfam family "Bacterial small subunit ribosomal RNA", at positions 30 to 523 of the family's 1533-position model. The record is from RNAcentral.